GACGAACGCUGGCGGCGUGCUUAACACAUGCAAGUCGAACGGAAAGGCCCCCUUGUGGGGUACUCGAGUGGCGAACGGGUGAGUAACACGUGAGUAACCUACCCUUGACUUUGGGAUAACUUCAGGAAACUGGGGCUAAUACCGGAUAGGAGCUCCUGCUGCAUGGUGGGGGUUGGAAAGUUUCGGCGGUUGGGGAUGGACUCGCGGCUUAUCAGCUUGUUGGUGGGGUAGUGGCUCACCAAGGCUUUGACGGGUAGCCGGCCUGAGAGGGUGACCGGCCACAUUGGGACUGAGAUACGGCCCAGACUCCUACGGGAGGCAGCAGUGGGGAAUAUUGCACAAUGGGCGGAAGCCUGAUGCAGCAACGCCGCGUGCGGGAUGACGGCCUUCGGGUGUUAACCGCUUUCGCCUGUGACGAAGCGUGAGUGACGGUAAUGGGUAAAGUAAGGACACCGGACUAA
RNAcentral lists this ribosomal RNA (461 nucleotides) under uncultured bacterium. Its description in RNAcentral is "bacterial SSU rRNA". It matches the Rfam family "Bacterial small subunit ribosomal RNA", at positions 28 to 504 of the family's 1533-position model. The record is from RNAcentral.